This 274-nucleotide ribosomal RNA is filed under the name uncultured bacterium. RNAcentral describes it as "partial 16S ribosomal RNA". It matches the Rfam family "Bacterial small subunit ribosomal RNA", at positions 523 to 796 of the family's 1533-position model. The record is from RNAcentral.
AUACGUAGGGUCCAAGCGUUAUCCGGAUUCAUUGGGUUUAAAGGGUCCGCAGGCGGGAAAAUAAGUCAGUGGUGAAAGCCUACAGCUCAACUGUAGAACUGCCAUUGAUACUGUUUUUCUUGAGUAUAGAUGAAGUGGGCGGAAUAUAUCAUGUAGCGGUGAAAUGCAUAGAUAUGAUAUAGAACACCGAUUGCGAAGGCAGCUCACUAAACUAUUACUGACGCUCAGGGACGAAAGCGUGGGGAGCGAACAGAAUUAGAUACCCCAGUAGUCC